Molecule: ribosomal RNA, 420 nt
Filed under: uncultured bacterium
Lineage: Bacteria
Description: partial 16S ribosomal RNA
Rfam family: Bacterial small subunit ribosomal RNA
Source: RNAcentral
AAUUUUGGACAAUGGGGGAAACUCUGAUCCAGCCAUCCAGCGAGUAGGAUGAAGGCCUUCGGGUUGUAAAGUACUUUUGGCAGAGAAGAAAAGGUUUCUCCUAAUACGAGAUACUGCUGACGGUAUCUGGAGAAUACGCACCGGCUAACUACGUGCCAGCAGCCGCGGUAAUACGUAGGGUGCAAGCGUUAACCGGAAUUACUGGGCGUAACGCAUGUGUAUGCGGUUAGGAAAGAAAGAUGUGAAAUCCCCGGGCUCAACCUUGUAACUGCAUUUUUAACUGCCGAGCUAGAGUAUGUCAGAGGGGGGUAGAAUUCCACGUGUAGCAGUGAAAUGCGUAGAUAUGUGGAGGAAUACCGAUGGCGAAGGCAGCCCCCUGGGAUAAUACUGACGCUCAGACACGAAAGCGUGGGGAGCAAA